GAUGAACGCUGGCGGCGUGCCUAAUACAUGCAAGUCGAGCGAACGGACGAGAAGCUUGCUUCUCUGAUGUUAGCGGCGGACGGGUGAGUAACACGUGGAUAACCUACCUAUAAGACUGGGAUAACUUCGGGAAACCGGAGCUAAUACCGGAUAAUAUUUUGAACCGCAUGGUUCAAAUGUGAAAGACGGUCUUGCUGUCACUUAUAGAUGGAUCCGCGCUGCAUUAGCUAGUUGGUAAGGUAACGGCUUACCAAGGCAACGAUGCAUAGCCGACCUGAGAGGGUGAUCGGCCACACUGGAACUGAGACACGGUCCAGACUCCUACGGGAGGCAGCAGUAGGGAAUCUUCCGCAAUGGGCGAAAGCCUGACGGAGCAACGCCGCGUGAGUGAUGAAGGUCUUCGGAUCGUAAAACUCUGUUAUUAGGGAAGAACAUAUGUGUAAGUAACUGUGCACAUCUUGACGGUACCUAAUCAGAAAGCCACGGCUAACUACGUG
RNAcentral lists this ribosomal RNA (497 nucleotides) under uncultured bacterium. RNAcentral's name for it is "partial 16S ribosomal RNA". It matches the Rfam family "Bacterial small subunit ribosomal RNA", at positions 28 to 507 of the family's 1533-position model. The record is from RNAcentral.